Long non-coding RNA from Mustela lutreola (European mink), 796 nucleotides. RefSeq lists it as uncharacterized. The transcript is spliced from 2 exons. The record is from RefSeq and is a predicted model, not a curated record. Lineage: Eukaryota; Metazoa; Chordata; Mammalia; Carnivora; Mustelidae.
GGAAACAUCGUGAACUGUGUCAGUGGCCACUUGAUGACUAUAGUAUUUCUUGCAGGGACAGCUGACCUUCAGGGAUGUGGCCAUAGAAUUCUCUGAGGAGGAGUGGGGAUGCCUGACCCACACUCAGUGGCAACUGUACCUGGAUGUGAUGUUGGAGAACUACGGACACCUCCUCUUCUUGGGCGGAUUAAUAUCCCAUGUUGAACUGUUCCUCCAACAAAUCCGUGUCAUGGACAUGAUGAGGGACCAGAAGACAAGCUGAGGACAAAGCAGAAGCUGACACACUCAACUCCCCCUCCAUGGGAUGCAUGUGACAUUCCUCAGGGGCUCCUGGCUGAAGGAAAAAGCAAAUAGUUAACUUAUGGAGAUUACAAUCCUGCAAGACAUGGGUGUCCUGUUCUACAAAUGUCCUAGAAAUUUACAAAAACAAAGCACUUCUAUCAAUUACCAAGCUUCCAGAACGGAAUGUACAAACGUUUAAGUGACCUUAGAGUCUGCAGCCCAUUGACAGAUGCUUGAAGAGGUCAAAAUGUAAUGUUCCUCCAGAAAACUCCCAACUAUCUUCACGGUAAUGCCUUCCUAAGAGGGAAAAACAACAUUAGCUUGACAAUGGCAAGGCUUCCAGUAUCCUGUGAGUCUUCCAACAUAUGAAAAUCAUUUUGAAAACUCCCUUAUUCCUCACCUUUCCCUAACCCCAUAGUAUAAAAUCAGCCACCCCCUCAUGACCCCGGGGGCAGCAACUCUUUCUGCCCUCCUCCUGUCCCCAUGCUUUAAUAAAACAACAUUUUGCACCAAA